Long non-coding RNA from Arabidopsis thaliana (thale cress), 276 nucleotides. RefSeq annotates it as other RNA. The record is from RefSeq. The transcript has a single exon. Lineage: Eukaryota; Viridiplantae; Streptophyta; Magnoliopsida; Brassicales; Brassicaceae.
UGAAGACAGCCCAGCCAAGCACCUUUUAACUUCUGUCUGAUUCCUCUCUCUAUGCUCUUUCUCUGUCUAUCUAUCUAAUUAUGCUUUUGGGUUUCUUCUUUUUCUGGUUUCACAGCUUUGGCUUUGAAGUCACGAGCCCAUCCCCCUAACCAUCCCCUUUUAUGCUUUGCUUUUCUAGUCAAUUUAAUUCAUGAGUUGUAACGAUGGAAGAAGUUUCAUUUAUCUAAUUAAUGUGUAUGCCUCAUUAAUGUUGCCUUCUUCCUAUAUUGCUAAAAG